CGCGUGUGUAGAAGAAGGCUUUCGGGUUGUAAAGCACUUUCAGCGAGGAAGAAGGCCUGACGGUUAAUACCUGUCAGGAUGGACAUCACUCGCAGAAGAAGCACCGGCUAACUCCGUGCCAGCAGCCGCGGUAAUACGGAGGGUGCAAGCGUUAAUCGGAAUUACUGGGCGUAAAGCGCGCGUAGGUGGCUUGAUAAGCCGGUUGUGAAAGCCCCGGGCUCAACCUGGGAACUGCAUCCGGAACUGUCAGGCUAGAGUGCAGGAGAGGAAGGUAGAAUUCCCGGUGUAGCGGUGAAAUGCGUAGAGAUCGGGAGGAAUACCAGUGGCGAAGGCGGCCUUCUGGACUGACACUGACACUGAGGUGCGAAAGCGUGGGUAGCAAACAGGAUUAGAUACCCUGGUAGUCCACGCCGUAAACGAUGUCGACUAGCCGUUGGGAGCCUCAAGUUCUUAGUGGCGCAGUUAACGCAAUAAGUCGACCGCCUGGGGAGUACGGCCGCAAGGUUAAAACUCAAAUGAAUUGACGGGGGCCCGCACAAGCGGUGGAGCAUGUGGUUUAAUUCGAUGCAACGCGAAGAACCUUACCUACUCUUGACAUCGUGCGAACUUUCCAGAGAUGGAUUGGUGCCUUCGGGAGCGCACAGACAGGUGCUGCAUGGCUGUCGUCAGCUCGUGUUGUGAAAUGUUGGGUUAAGUCCCGUAACGAGCGCAACCC
Molecule: ribosomal RNA, 715 nt
Filed under: Halomonas sp. P1-11A.
Lineage: Bacteria; Pseudomonadati; Pseudomonadota; Gammaproteobacteria; Oceanospirillales; Halomonadaceae
Description: bacterial SSU rRNA
Rfam family: Bacterial small subunit ribosomal RNA
Source: RNAcentral